UAGUUGUCUCUCUUGCAGGUCAGCGCAA
RNAcentral lists this small RNA (28 nucleotides) under Bombyx mori (domestic silkworm). RNAcentral describes it as "ovarian small RNA-23193". The record is from RNAcentral. Lineage: Eukaryota; Metazoa; Arthropoda; Insecta; Lepidoptera; Bombycidae.